RNAcentral lists this ribosomal RNA (913 nucleotides) under uncultured marine archaeon. Its description in RNAcentral is "bacterial SSU rRNA". It matches the Rfam family "Archaeal small subunit ribosomal RNA", at positions 1 to 922 of the family's 1478-position model. The record is from RNAcentral.
UUCCGGUUGAUCCUGUGGACCUGACUGCUAUCGGAUUGAUACUAAGCCAUGCGAGUCUUUGCAGUAAUGCAAGGCAUACGGCUCAGUAACACGUAGUCAACUUACCCUAUGGACGAGGAUAAUCUCGGGAAACUGAGCAUAAUACUCGAUAGAUCAUAAUGCCUGGAAUGGUUUAUGGUUGAAAUGAUUCGUCGCCAUAGGAUGGGACUGCGGCCUAUCAGCUUGUUGGUGAGGUAAUGGCCCACCAAGGCGAUUACAGGUACGGGCUCUGAGAGGAGAAGCCCGGAGAUGGGUACUGAGACAAGGACCCAGGCCCUAUGGGGCGCAGCAGGCGAGAAAACUUUGCAAUGUGCGAAAGCACGACAAGGUUAAUCCGAGUGAUUUCUGCUAAAGAAAUCUUUUGCAAGUCAUAAAACCACUAGUGAAUAAGGGGUGGGCAAGUUCUGGUGUCAGCCGCCGCGGUAAAACCAGCACCUCAAGUGGUCAGGAGGAUUAUUGGGCCUAAAGCAUCCGUAGCCGGCUCUGUAAGUUUUCGGUUAAAUCCAUGUGCUCAACGCAUGGGCUGCCGAAAAUACUGCAUAGCUAGGGAGUGGGAGAGGUAGACGGUACUCGGUAGGAAGGGGUAAAAUCCUUUGAUCUAUCGAUGACCACCUGUGGCGAAGGCGGUCUACCAGAACACGUUCGACGGUGAGGGAUGAAAGCUGGGGGAGCAAACCGGAUUAGAUACCCGGGUAGUCCCAGCUGUAAACGAUGCAGACUCGAUGAUGCAUUGGCAUAUAGCCAGUGCAGUGUCGCAGGGAAGCCGUUAAGUCUGCCGCCUGGGAAGUACGUACGCAAGUAUGAAACUUAAAGGAAUUGGCGGGGGAGCACCACAAGGGGUGAAGCCUGCGGUUCAAUUGGAUUCAACGCCGGG